RNAcentral lists this transfer RNA (69 nucleotides) under Loxodonta africana (African savanna elephant). It matches the Rfam family "tRNA". From Rfam's summary of the family: Transfer RNA (tRNA) molecules are approximately 80 nucleotides in length. Their secondary structure includes four short double-helical elements and three loops (D, anti-codon, and T loops). Lineage: Eukaryota; Metazoa; Chordata; Mammalia; Proboscidea; Elephantidae. The record is from Rfam by way of RNAcentral.
ACAUUGGUAGUUCAUGGUAGAAUUCUCACCUUCCAUGCGGGAGACCUGGGUUCAUUCCCAGCCAACGCA